RNAcentral lists this ribosomal RNA (865 nucleotides) under uncultured rumen archaeon. RNAcentral describes it as "bacterial SSU rRNA". The stretch from base 17 to 763 matches the Rfam family "Archaeal small subunit ribosomal RNA". The record is from RNAcentral.
AUGAUUUCACUAGUGAUUUCUGGUUGAUCCCGGCGGAGGCUACUGCUAUUGGGAUUCGAUUAAGCCAUGCAAGUUGAAUGAAUUUAGAUUCAUGGCGUACGGCUCAGUAACACGUGGAUAACUUACCCUUAGGACUGGGAUAACUCUGGGAAACUGGGGAUAAUACCGGAUAUUAGGCUAUGUCUGCAAUGGUUUGCCUUUGAAAUGUUUUUUUUCGCCUAAGGAUAGAUCUGCGGCUGAUUAGGUCGUUGGUGGGGUAAUGGCCCACCAAGCCGAUGAUCGGUACGGGUUGUGAGAGCAAGGGCCCGGAGAUGGAACCUGAGACAAGGUUCCAGACCCUACGGGGUGCAGCAGGCGCGAAACCUCCGCAAUGUACGAAAGUGCGACGGGGGGAUCCCAAGUGUUAUGCUUAAAGGUAUGACUUUUCAUUAGUGGAAAAAGCUUUUAGAAUACGAUCUGGGCAAGACCGGUGCCAGCCGCCGCGGGAACACCGGCAGCUCGAGUGGUGGCUGUCAUCAUUGGAGCUAAAGCAUUUUAACUCGUUUGAUAAUUCCUUGAUGACAGCUUGAAGCUUAACUAUUAUAAAUGCUGGUGUGAUAUCAAAAAUUAAGUCGGGUUUAGGCUCAUGUUCUACCGGCGUAGGGUGCAAUCCCCAUAACCGGCUACGACACCUUGAAGUGAACGCAUUUACCCGUAUAAUGGGGACUAGGAUAACGCAGCCACCCGCUGGGAACCGUAUAGCGACGUCAGGAGUCCGCCUCCAAAAAUAUAAACACAAGGGUGAGAAGGCUGGCAGACGACACACUACAGAAGUCCAUUGCGAAACUACCUUAUCUGAGACUUUGCCUAGAUUGUGAAUAUUAUG